Molecule: ribosomal RNA, 46 nt
Filed under: Colletotrichum sp. AHU9748
Lineage: Eukaryota; Fungi; Ascomycota; Sordariomycetes; Glomerellales; Glomerellaceae
Description: partial 18S ribosomal RNA
Source: RNAcentral
UAAAAGUCGUAACAAGGUCUCCGUUGGUGAACCAGCGGAGGGAUCA